CCAUCCUCAUGUCAAUUAUCCUUCCAGAACCUAGUCUUGUUUCCAUCCAUCACUCUUCAGUAUAUUUAGCCCCAAUCACUUUCCUCCAUAGCAGUUGGUUAUUGUUUGCAUAUUUCCACAACCAUUUCAUCACGAGAGCCUUACUUUGAAUUUUUAGGUUCUUUAUCCCCAACCCUCUAGUCUUCUUGUCAAUUGUCCACCACAGAUAGCACUACCCUUUUUCUCGCAUAUCUUUGUUCCUUAUUCUAUCUCUCCUAGUAUGCCCACACACCAAUCUCAACAUCCUCAUUUCUGCUACGUUUUAUCUUUCGAACAUGCGAGCUCUUGACCAGCCAAAUACUCUGCCCCAUGCAAGAUAGCUAGUAUAACAACCACUUUAUAAAACUUACCUUUAAGUUUAUUUUAACAAAAUUCUUAUACAUGGCGUGCUAGUUACUAGCUCUUUUGCAAGAGCUAAUUGGGACAAAAAACACAUGUUCAGAAAUUGAUUCAUCGAAAAAAAGCAUAACUGUAGUUUAUGAGCUUCAAAAGUGUCCAAAUGGAAAAAAAAUUAUGGUGGGGCUGUGUUGAGUGUGGAACUUAGAACCUCAAUGCAGGAUUUGAACACCCUUACUGUCGCACUCAGUGUUGUUUUUUGUGGCAAGGGUGUUCCUUAAAAAAUACUCAGAAACGACAGAAUUUGACCUAUAUAUAUAUAUAUAUAUACAAAAUGCGAUUAUCAGGCGAAUGUUGUUCAGUUAAUCACCCUUGGAUAGCUGUAGCUCGGCCGCAGCUUGGCAAUGUUUCCACCAUGCUUGUAGUUAUAUUCUACACAGUACAUACUAGCCCUUUUCCAUGUGGGACAUUAUAUCAUUCAUAUUCUAACACUUCCAUCCAGUAUUGUACUGCUGGAAGUUACUGAUUUCUACUCUCAGGGUACUGUUUAUGUUCUGUUUUUUGACUUGACCUGCUUUCAUGCUGUUUUCAUUAGGACAGAGGGCAGACGCAUCAACUGGCUGGAGAGAAUUUACACGUCCUGAGGGAAGAAAGUAUUACUACAACAAGGUUACUAGAACGUCCAAAUGGAGAAUGCCUGAUGAAGUCAAGUUGGCUUGUGAAAAGGACACCAUUUCGCAUGCUUCUGAUUUUGGAUCCAUUUCUGUUGUUAAAACAUCAUCCCCGGGUGCAGAUGGUUCAUUAGU
Molecule: long non-coding RNA, 1181 nt
Organism: Capsicum annuum
Lineage: Eukaryota; Viridiplantae; Streptophyta; Magnoliopsida; Solanales; Solanaceae
Exons: 3
Source: RefSeq, a predicted model, not a curated record